RNAcentral lists this ribosomal RNA (2343 nucleotides) under Leishmania infantum. RNAcentral's name for it is "pre-rrna-processing_protein_tsr1_homolog". Lineage: Eukaryota; Euglenozoa; Kinetoplastea; Trypanosomatida; Trypanosomatidae. The record is from RNAcentral.
AUGGCUCGGAACAAAGAACAUAAGCAGCGCUUCGCGUCAAAGCACGCACUGGCUGACAAAUCCAAGGGCCGGCAACUGCAGAGCAAGCAGUGCAACGUAAAGGCUGGGACUUCCGCUCACAACAAGGAGCGUUCAAAGCAGAUAGCUGCUGCAAUACGUGACAAGCGUGCCCGUGCAGCUCUGGAGCAGCGGCGCCUGGGGAGCGCUGACGGAAUACCUCGUAUUGUCGGCAUUGUUCCCGCCAACGAGUCCGGAAACACGGAAGAAAUUCUUCAGGGAUUCUGCAAGAGCCUGCAUGCGGAUUUUCCAGGUGGCGAUCAACCGUUCAGUGUUGUGUCAAAGGAAAGGAAAGUGGCUUUCACAUUUGUCUGCGAAAAGAACUGCAACGAUCAGGACUGCAUCGACGUCGCGAAAGUGAGUGAUUUUAUGGUGCUUACACUGGACUGUUCACAGGCUGUACAAAAUACUAUCCGUGAGCUUCAAGAUACCCGCGCUUUCACGGGUGAAGACGGAGCAGAGACGAUUGCGACAACUUGGUUCAGCGACAUUGGUCUGUGCAUCACCGACUACACGCGCGAUCUCGUUGCGGCCAUCAACUCUCAGGGUACCCCAAGCGUUGUCGUCAUAAUUCAGAACCUGCACACCUUCGCCGACCGCCAACGACAGAAGGUGCUGAAGAUCCACCAGCGCUAUUUCAACUCUGUUCUGAGUGACACAACGAAAGUCAUGCCCGCGGUCAGCCAAGACGACUACACCAACAUUCUACGCCACAUGCAGGUGUCGAAAAUCCGGACCCUGAAAUGGAGAGAUCAACAUCCAUACAUGGCAGUGGAGGAGAAGGCUUACAAUCCUGAAACCCAGGAGCUUACAAUCACGGGCCAUUUGCGUGGUAUGCCUCUUUCUGCUACACAGCUUGUGCAUCUAACAAAUCACGGUACUUUUCAAGUUUGCAAGAUCGAGGAAGUGCGGAAGGGCGAUGAGCGAGUGCUCAUUGAGACAUCUGAGGCAGAACAGCGAGAAUCGCUCCAGCAAGUUCAAGCGAAUUCGACUCUCGAGGACGAUGGUUUUCCAACUGACGCCGACGUGCUUUAUCACCAGGAAAUUGCUGGGACUCACAAGAUUCGCGUACCGGCUGGCGUUUCCAGCGAUCAAGCGGCGUGGUACGACACAGAGGAGAACAUCGUGAAGGACAAUGCACCGGUGCAUCAGCACAUUACUAUGGAUGAUGAGGACGCCUUUGCCGGGGAUGCCAUGUCUCACCGCACGACACAAACCGAUGUCGAUUUUCUCAAGGCUGAGGAUGUUGUUCGUCUGGAGCGCAUGACAGACGAGGAGCGGAUACUGGAAAUGGAAAAGCUGAAGGAACUGAGCGAGGAGGAGGCUUGGAAUCCAGAUAUGGUAGAAACUCCUGUUAACAUACCUGCGAGGCAGCGUUUUGCAAAGUACCGUGGAAUGAAGAGUUUCCACACAGGCAGGUGGGAUCCGGCGGAGAACUUGCCUCCACAGUACGCUUACAUCUACAAGCUUCAGGGGUACUCUCGUAUUCGCGAGAGCGCAAUUGACGCAUGCGAAGGAGGCAUGGCUGAGGUAGGCAUGCGCAUCGCCAUCACACUCGUCAACGUCCCUCAAAGCGUUUGGAAUGCCUGUGAACGAUGCCUUCUUAUUGCUUCCGGCCAGCUGCAGCACGAGCAAAAGUGGUCUGUGCUGCACUUCCAGGUUCAGAGGGCGUCGGAGCUCGAUGAGCCUAUCAAGUCCAAAACUCCCAUGCUGGCGCACAUUGGAUUUCGAAAGUUCUACGUCUCGCCGCUCUUCAGCGAUAUCAGCUCAGGCGACCGAUCCAAGUUUUCCCGCUUCUUCCACGAAGGCGACAGGUUCCGUAUGGCGACAUUUUUCGGUCCCAUCAGCUACAACCCGUGUCCGCUGCUGCUCUUCCAGGUACCUUCACUUGAGGAGCAGGCAGAGGGAAAUCCCCUGCGACUAGCAUGCUUUGGCGGUAGCCUUCCUCCCAACCCUGAAACUCUUCUGCUAAAGCGCGCUGUUCUCAGUGGCCGCGUGGCGGUGAUUCACAAAAAGCAGGUCGUUGUCAAGUACAUGUUCUUCAAUGACGAAGAUAUCAAGUGGUUUCAGCCGGUCGACCUUUACACCAAGUUCGGCCGUCGUGGCAAGAUAACCAAACCCGUUGGCACUCAUGGCCUUUUCAAGGCUGUUCUCAACGACCAGAUUAUGCAGCAUGAUGUUGUGUGCAUGGAUCUAUUCAAGCGAGUAUUCCCAAAAUGGACUACGGUUGCGUUCAGCAUGUCUGACAUCCCUGCCGGGCAUACAGAAAACGAGGAGGAAUGCUGA